UACGUAGGGGGCAAGCGUUGUCCGGAUUUACUGGGCGUAAAGAGCGUGUAGGCGGCCACGCAGGUCCGUUGUGAAAACUGGAGGCUCAACCUCCAGCUGUCGACGGAAACCGUGUGGCUAGAGUCCGGAAGAGGAGAGUGGAAUUCCUGGUGUAGCGGUGAAAUGCGCAGAUAUCAGGAGGAACACCGGUGGUGUAAACGGCUUUCUGGACCGUAACUGACGCUGAAACACGAAAGCGUGGGGAGCAAACAGG
RNAcentral lists this ribosomal RNA (253 nucleotides) under uncultured prokaryote. RNAcentral's name for it is "partial 16S ribosomal RNA". It matches the Rfam family "Bacterial small subunit ribosomal RNA", at positions 524 to 776 of the family's 1533-position model. The record is from RNAcentral.